GCCAUGCCGCGUGCAGGAUGAAGGCCUUCGGGUUGUAAACUGCUUUUGUACGGAACGAAACGGCCUUUUCUAAUAAAGAGGGCUAAUGACGGUACCGUAAGAAUAAGCACCGGCUAACUACGUGCCAGCAGCCGCGGUAAUACGUAGGGUGCAAGCGUUAAUCGGAAUUACUGGGCGUAAAGCGUGCGCAGGCGGUUAUGUAAGACAGUUGUGAAAUCCCCGGGCUCAACCUGGGAACUGCAUCUGUGACUGCAUAGCUAGAGUACGGUAGAGGGGGAUGGAAUUCCGCGUGUAGCAGUGAAAUGCGUAGAUAUGCGGAGGAACACCGAUGGCGAAGGCAAUCCCCUGGACCUGUACUGACGCUCAUGCACGAAAGCGUGGGGAGCAAACAGGAUUAGAUACCCUGGUAGUCCACGCCCUAAACGAUGUCAACUGGUUGUUGGGUCUUCACUGACUCAGUAACGAAGCUAACGCGUGAAGU
RNAcentral lists this ribosomal RNA (481 nucleotides) under bacterium 3.7. Its description in RNAcentral is "bacterial SSU rRNA". It matches the Rfam family "Bacterial small subunit ribosomal RNA", at positions 391 to 865 of the family's 1533-position model. The record is from RNAcentral.